RNAcentral lists this ribosomal RNA (301 nucleotides) under uncultured bacterium. Its description in RNAcentral is "partial 16S ribosomal RNA". It matches the Rfam family "Bacterial small subunit ribosomal RNA", at positions 509 to 807 of the family's 1533-position model. The record is from RNAcentral.
CAGCCGCCGCGGUAAUACGAAGGGGGCGAGCGUUAUUCGGAAUCACUGGGCGUAAAGCGUGCGUAGGCGGUUCUAAAAGUUAGAAGUGAAAGCCCAGGGCUCAACCCUGGAAUUGCUUUUAAAACUAUAGGACUAGAAUUCGGGAGAGGAUAGCGGAAUUGUCAGUGUAGCAGUGAAAUGCGUAGAUAUUGACAGGAACACCAGUGGCGUAAGCGGCCAUCUGGACCGACAUUGACGCUGAGGCACGAAAGCGUGGGGAGCAAACAGGAUUAGAUACCCCCGUAGUCCCUGUCUCUUAUAC